AUUGAACGCUGGCGGCAUGCCUUACACAUGCAAGUCGAACGGCAGCGCGGGAGCAAUCCUGGCGGCGAGUGGCGAACGGGUGAGUAAUAUAUCGGAACGUGCCCAGUAGUGGGGGAUAGCCCGGCGAAAGCCGGAUUAAUACCGCAUGAGACCUGAGGGUGAAAGCGGGGGAUCGCAAGACCUCGCGCUAUUGGAGCAGCCGAUAUCAGAUUAGCUAGUUGGUGGGGUAAAGGCCUACCAAGGCAACGAUCUGUAGUUGGUCUGAGAGGACGACCAGCCACACUGGGACUGAGACACGGCCCAGACUCCUACGGGAGGCAGCAGUGGGGAAUUUUGGACAAUGGGCGCAAGCCUGAUCCAGCAAUGCCGCGUGCAGGAAGAAGG
RNAcentral lists this ribosomal RNA (384 nucleotides) under uncultured bacterium. RNAcentral describes it as "bacterial SSU rRNA". It matches the Rfam family "Bacterial small subunit ribosomal RNA", at positions 29 to 414 of the family's 1533-position model. The record is from RNAcentral.